This 1484-nucleotide ribosomal RNA is filed under the name Bacillus amyloliquefaciens. Its description in RNAcentral is "bacterial SSU rRNA". It matches the Rfam family "Bacterial small subunit ribosomal RNA". The record is from RNAcentral. Lineage: Bacteria; Bacillati; Bacillota; Bacilli; Caryophanales; Bacillaceae.
UCAGGACGAACGCUGGCGGCGUGCCUAAUACAUGCAAGUCGAGCGGACAGAUGGGAGCUUGCUCCCUGAUGUUAGCGGCGGACGGGUGAGUAACACGUGGGUAACCUGCCUGUAAGACUGGGAUAACUCCGGGAAACCGGGGCUAAUACCGGAUGGUUGUUUGAACCGCAUGGUUCAGACAUAAAAGGUGGCUUCGGCUACCACUUACAGAUGGACCCGCGGCGCAUUAGCUAGUUGGUGAGGUAACGGCUCACCAAGGCAACGAUGCGUAGCCGACCUGAGAGGGUGAUCGGCCACACUGGGACUGAGACACGGCCCAGACUCCUACGGGAGGCAGCAGUAGGGAAUCUUCCGCAAUGGACGAAAGUCUGACGGAGCAACGCCGCGUGAGUGAUGAAGGUUUUCGGAUCGUAAAGCUCUGUUGUUAGGGAAGAACAAGUGCCGUUCAAAUAGGGCGGCACCUUGACGGUACCUAACCAGAAAGCCACGGCUAACUACGUGCCAGCAGCCGCGGUAAUACGUAGGUGGCAAGCGUUGUCCGGAAUUAUUGGGCGUAAAGGGCUCGCAGGCGGUUUCUUAAGUCUGAUGUGAAAGCCCCCGGCUCAACCGGGGAGGGUCAUUGGAAACUGGGGAACUUGAGUGCAGAAGAGGAGAGUGGAAUUCCACGUGUAGCGGUGAAAUGCGUAGAGAUGUGGAGGAACACCAGUGGCGAAGGCGACUCUCUGGUCUGUAACUGACGCUGAGGAGCGAAAGCGUGGGGAGCGAACAGGAUUAGAUACCCUGGUAGUCCACGCCGUAAACGAUGAGUGCUAAGUGUUAGGGGGUUUCCGCCCCUUAGUGCUGCAGCUAACGCAUUAAGCACUCCGCCUGGGGAGUACGGUCGCAAGACUGAAACUCAAAGGAAUUGACGGGGGCCCGCACAAGCGGUGGAGCAUGUGGUUUAAUUYGAAGCAACGCGAAGAACCUUACCAGGUCUUGACAUCCUYUGACAAUCCUAGAGAUAGGACGUCCCCUUCGGGGGCAGAGUGACAGGUGGUGCAUGGUUGUCGUCAGCUCGUGUCGUGAGAUGUUGGGUUAAGUCCCGCAACGAGCGCAACCCUUGAUUUUAGUUGCCAGCAUUCAGUUGGGCACUUUAAGGUGACUGCCGGUGACAAACCGGAGGAAGGUGGGGAUGACGUCAAAUCAUCAUGCCCCUUAUGACCUGGGCUACACACGUGCUACAAUGGGCAGAACAAAGGGCAGCGAAACCGCGAGGUUAAGCCAAUCCCACAAAUCUGUUCUCAGUUCGGAUCGCAGUUUGCAACUCGACUGCGUGAAGCUGGAAUCGCUAGUAAUCGCGGAUCAGCAUGCCGCGGUGAAUACGUUCCCGGGCCUUGUACACACCGCCCGUCACACCACGAGAGUUUGUAACACCCGAAGUCGGUGAGGUAACCUUUUUGGAGCCAGCCGCCGAAGGUGGGACAGAUGAUUGGGGUGAAGUCGUA